UCAGGUGCCUAUAUCGGCGGUGUCCACCUCUUCCCAUCCCGAACAGAGAAGUUAAGCCCGCCAGAGCCGAUGGUACUGCAGUAACAUGUGGGAGAGUAGGUCGGUGCCGAUC
Non-coding RNA from Sphingobacterium sp. 21, 112 nucleotides. Lineage: Bacteria; Pseudomonadati; Bacteroidota; Sphingobacteriia; Sphingobacteriales; Sphingobacteriaceae. The record is from Rfam.